AUUGAACGCUGGCGAGAGGGAGUACACAGGCAAGUCGAACGGCAGCACGGGUGCUUGCACCUGGUGGCGAGUGGCGAACGGGUGAGUAAUACAUCGGAACAUGUCCUGUAGUGGGGGAUAGCCCGGCGAAAGCCGGAUUAAUACCGCAUACGAUCUACGGAUGAAAGCGGGGGCCCUUCGGGCCUCGCGCUAUAGGGUUGGCCGAUGGCUGAUUAGCUAGUUGGUGGGGUAAAGGCCUACCAAGGCGACGCUCAGUAGCUGGUCUGAGAGGACGACCAGUCACACUGGGACUGAGACACGGCCCAGACUCCUACGGGAGGCAGCAGUGGGGAAUUUUGGACAAUGGGCGAAAGCCUGAUCCAGCAAUGCCGCGUGUGUGAAGAAGGCCUUCGGGUUGUAAAGCACUUUUGUCCGGAAAGAAAUCCUUGGCCCUAAUACGGUCGGGGGAUGACGGUACCGGAAGAAUAAGCACCGGCUCCCUACGUC
Molecule: ribosomal RNA, 486 nt
Filed under: uncultured bacterium
Lineage: Bacteria
Description: partial 16S ribosomal RNA
Rfam family: Bacterial small subunit ribosomal RNA
Source: RNAcentral